GCUGGACCUGCUGCUUUAGGGACUUGAACCCAUAAUCAUUCCUUGGUCACCUUAGCUAAAAAGACUGAUCUUCAAGAAGAGAAACUAUAUUUACCGUCAACAAAGCAAUUCAAAUGACUAAUCUCACCAUCAGCUUCUAGGUCAAAGUUCCCUCACAAAGAAAGACUUGAACGAAACUAAUGUUACAGAAAGAUACGAGGAAGUUUUCAAAUCCAAGCUUGUGCACUUUAUGGCAUGGUGGCAUGCUCAUUACUUGCACAUAUACCUAAGUUGUGUUUAAUGGUUUGGUUUGGCUAAUACCACCCACCUGACUAAAGGGGGAGGAGCCAGAAGUGUCAAGUAUUAGAAGGUGAAAACAGCUCGAUUCUUUUUUUCUUUAUUUUUAUUUUUUUUUAAAUCAUCUGUUGUCAACCUCUGUCAUACGCAUCUUCGGUGGAGCUGGGAGCUGAUCCUCGAUGAGGCCUUCCUCAAACCACAGCCUCUGGCCUAACUUGUUGCUUUGUUAUUAUUGGUCAUUAGCUGUACCCCGCCUCUCGCCCUAUGACAGCUGGGAUAGGCUCCAGCGCCCCCCGCGACCCUGAAAAGGAGAAGCGGAAGCGAAUGGAUGGAUGGAUGGAUGGUCAUUAGUCAUUUACAUUUGUGUCCUUGCUAGUGAAUUUCCAACUCUCUGCAUAAAUACGGUCUCUCAUCCACAUUUGAGCUUCACAAAUGUGCAUGAAAGCAUGUAACUGCAUGGGUUAAUAUUUAGAAUUAAAAAAAAUCACCACCACAAGUUGAAUCACAAAACAAUGAAAUCCAUCACAGAAUAUUACCAAAGAUAUUAUCCAUAUAGGCCCUUUAAUUAUUAUUUAAUUAUAAUAAUUUGUACAUUUUUAAUAUAUGACCACUUUCAGCUCAAAACUAAAGCAAAAAAAAUGUUCAACUGGGCUCAUUUCUACUAACUUUUUAGUUUUUUUAUUCAACGUAGAACGAUGAUUAUUCACACUGUAUCAGAAUCAGCAGCUCUCAGUACAUUCCCUCAGAGUAUCUCCUCACCUUCACUGAAUUACAGCAGGUUAAGUUGCUGCAUUGUGUCCAUAGAAGGACAGCUUCACGAAUAUAUUGAGCUAAAGUAGAAAGUAUUUCAGUUUGGCAAGCAUUCAUCC
Molecule: long non-coding RNA, 1145 nt
Organism: Astatotilapia calliptera (eastern happy)
Lineage: Eukaryota; Metazoa; Chordata; Actinopteri; Cichliformes; Cichlidae
Source: Ensembl